CGUGGGUAACCUGCCUUAUAGUGGGGGAUAGCCUUUCGAAAGGAAGAUUAAUACCGCAUAAGAUUGUAGUAUCGCAUGAUAUAGCAAUUAAAGGAGCAAUCCGCUAUAAGAUGGACCCGCGUCGCAUUAGCUAGUUGGUGAGGUGAUGGCUCACCAAGGCGACGAUGCGUAGCCGACCUGAGAGGGUGAUCGGCCACAUUGGGACUGAGACACGGCCCAGACUCCUACGGAGGCAGCAUG
Molecule: ribosomal RNA, 240 nt
Filed under: uncultured bacterium
Lineage: Bacteria
Description: partial 16S ribosomal RNA
Rfam family: Bacterial small subunit ribosomal RNA
Source: RNAcentral